GGAUCCAGACUUUGAUUAUGGCUCAGGACGAACGCUGGCGGCGUGCCUAACACAUGCAAGUCGAACGGAACUUCUUUAAAGGAUUUCUUCGGAAUGAAUUUGAUUAAGUUUAGUGGCGGACGGGUGAGUAACGCGUGAGUAACCUGCCUCUAAGAGGGGAAUAACAUUCUGAAAAGAAUGCUAAUACCGCAUAAUAUAUAUUUAUCGCAUGGUAGAUAUAUCAAAGAUUUAUCGCUUAGAGAUGGACUCGCGUCCGAUUAGUUAGUUGGUGAGGUAACGGCUCACCAAGACCGCGAUCGGUAGCCGGACUGAGAGGUUGAACGGCCACAUUGGGACUGAGACACGGCCCAGACUCCUACGGGAGGCAGCAGUGGGGGAUAUUGCGCAAUGGGGGAAACCCUGACGCAGCAACGCCGCGUGAAGGAUGAAGGUCUUCGGAUUGUAAACUUCUUUUAUUAAGGACGAAGAAAGUGACGGUACUUAAUGAAUAAGCUCCGGCUAACUACGUGCCAGCAGCCGCGGUAAUACGUAGGGAGCAAGCGUUGUCCGGAUUUACUGGGUGUAAAGGGUGCGUAGGCGGCUUUGCAAGUCAGAUGUGAAAUCUAUGGGCUCAACCCAUAGCCUGCAUUUGAAACUGCAGAGCUUGAGUGAAGUAGAGGCAGGCGGAAUUCCCCGUGUAGCGGUGAAAUGCGUAGAGAUGGGGAGGAACACCAGUGGCGAAGGCGGCCUGCUGGGCUUUAACUGACGCUGAGGCACGAAAGCGUGGGUAGCAAACAGGAUUAGAUACCCUGGUAGUCCACGCUGUAAACGAUGAUUACUAGGUGUGGGGGGUCUGACCCCUUCCGUGCCGGAGUUAACACAAUAAGUAAUCCACCUGGGGAGUACGGCCGCAAGGUUGCAACUCAAAUGAAUUGACGG
This 918-nucleotide ribosomal RNA is filed under the name uncultured Bacillota bacterium. Its description in RNAcentral is "bacterial SSU rRNA". It matches the Rfam family "Bacterial small subunit ribosomal RNA", at positions 1 to 916 of the family's 1533-position model. Lineage: Bacteria; Bacillati; Bacillota. The record is from RNAcentral.